This 305-nucleotide ribosomal RNA is filed under the name uncultured bacterium. RNAcentral describes it as "partial 16S ribosomal RNA". It matches the Rfam family "Bacterial small subunit ribosomal RNA", at positions 505 to 807 of the family's 1533-position model. The record is from RNAcentral.
ACAGCAGCAGCCGCGGUAAUACGGAGGGUGCAAGCGUUAAUCGGAAUUACUGGGCGUAAAGCGCACGCAGGCGGUCUGACAAGUCAGAUGUGAAAUCCCCGGGCUUAACCUGGGAACUGCAUUUGAAACUGGCAGGCUAGAGUCUUGUAGAGGGGGGUAGAAUUCCAGGUGUAGCGGUGAAAUGCGUAGAGAUCUGGAGGAAUACCGGUGGCGAAGGCGGCCCCCUGGACAAAGACUGACGCUCAGGUGCGAAAGCGUGGGGAGCAAACAGGAUUAGAUACCCCUGUAGUCCCUGUCUCUUAUAC